RNAcentral lists this long non-coding RNA (240 nucleotides) under Gossypium barbadense (sea-island cotton). Its description in RNAcentral is "long non-coding RNA (GBAR_LNC023449)". The record is from RNAcentral. Lineage: Eukaryota; Viridiplantae; Streptophyta; Magnoliopsida; Malvales; Malvaceae.
UUUUGGUUUCCUAGUCAUAUUCAAAGUUUUGCAUUAACUGCUGGAAUUCUCAUUUGCCUUGCUACUUUGGAUUCUCUCCCUUUAUAUAUUUGUUUGACGUGAAGUUGUAGAUUAGCAGUCAAAUGAUUUCCAUCACAUUAGCUUUUUUACGCCGCCAGAGCAGGAAAGAUCAUGUAUAUGUCAGCAAAUCAGAAUGCAGAUGAUGAUCUCACACGUAAAUGCUAUACAAUCAGCCCCAGG